Molecule: microRNA precursor, 55 nt
Organism: Ciona intestinalis (vase tunicate)
Lineage: Eukaryota; Metazoa; Chordata; Ascidiacea; Phlebobranchia; Cionidae
Product: cin-mir-4000a-1
Source: Ensembl
CGAAACUUGCGUGGAACAGGCUGUUAGAAUCCAGCCUUUUCAUGUAAAUUUCCAU